This 358-nucleotide ribosomal RNA is filed under the name Haptophyta environmental samples. RNAcentral's name for it is "bacterial SSU rRNA". It matches the Rfam family "Eukaryotic small subunit ribosomal RNA", at positions 595 to 957 of the family's 1831-position model. Lineage: Eukaryota; Haptophyta. The record is from RNAcentral.
UAGCGUAUAUUAAAGUUGUUGCAGUUAAAAAGCUCGUAGUCGGAUUUCGGGGCGGGGCGAGCGGUCUGCCGAUGGGUAUGCACUGUUCGGCGCGUCCUUCUUUCCGGAGACCGGCCCUACUCUUAGCUGAGCGGGGUCGGGAGACGGAAUUUUUACUUUGAAAAAAUCAGAGUGUUUAACGCGGGCAUCUCGCUUUUGAAUGGAUUAGCAUGGGAUAAUGAAAUAGGACUCGGGUGCUAUUUUGUUGGUUUCGAAAACCGGAGUAAUGAUUAAAAGGGACAGUCAGGGGCACUAGUAUUCUGUUGAGAGAGGUGAAAUUCUCAGACCAAUGGAAGACGAACCACUGCGAAAGCAUUUG